This 81-nucleotide microRNA precursor is filed under the name Podarcis lilfordi (Lilford's wall lizard). The record is from RNAcentral. Lineage: Eukaryota; Metazoa; Chordata; Lepidosauria; Squamata; Lacertidae.
UGGACCUAAUGGUCAGGGGUUCCUUUACCUUUACCUAAGUUAAAAAGGUAAAGGUAAAGGGACCCCUGACCAUUAGGUCCA